RNAcentral lists this ribosomal RNA (545 nucleotides) under uncultured bacterium. RNAcentral's name for it is "SSU rRNA". It matches the Rfam family "Bacterial small subunit ribosomal RNA", at positions 953 to 1498 of the family's 1533-position model. The record is from RNAcentral.
GAUGCAACGCGAAAAACCUUACCCACCUUUGACAUGUACGGAACCCUUUAGAGAUAGAGGGGUGCUCGAAAGAGAGCCGUAACACAGGUGCUGCAUGGCUGUCGUCAGCUCGUGUCGUGAGAUGUUGGGUUAAGUCCCGCAACGAGCGCAACCCUUGUCAUUAGUUGCUACAUUCAGUCGGGCACUCUAAUGAGACUGCCGGUGACAAGCCGGAGGAAGGUGGGGAUGACGUCAAGUCCUCAUGGCCCUUAUAGGUGGGGCUACACACGUCAUACAAUGGCUGGUACAAAGGGUUGCCAACCCGCGAGGGGGAGCUAAUCCCACAAAGCCAGUCGUAGUCCGGAUCGUAGUCUGCAACUCGACUACGUGAAGUCGGAAUCGCUAGUAAUCGUGGAUCAGAAUGUCACGGUGAAUACGUUCCCGGGUCUUGUACACACCGCCCGUCACACCAUGGGAGCGGGUUCUGCCAGAAGUAGUUAGCUUAACCGCAAGGAGGGCGAUUACCACGGCAGGGUUCGUGACUGGGGUGAAGUCGUAACAAGGUA